GUAACCCAGUGAAAUUGAUACUCGACUCUUCCCUGCCCAGGGUCCACCCGCGUAAAUCAUAACCAGAGGAAACAAAAGCCCUGCCUGAGCAGUGUGUCUUGCCGGCAGGCAGGCAAGGAACGAGGCUGAGUGACUCACUCUCUCCAAGUCUGGUUGGAGGAGAGGCACAUGGUUUCCAGGAAUUUCUUUGCAUUGUUUUAUAUGUAUUAAGGGAAAAUUAAAAUAAAAGGAUCUGAAGUGUUGAGAAAGGAGAAGAAGGCUGAAUUUAAAAUGGGCAGACAUAUAAGGCCAGGCUGGCAAAGGGGCCUUGAAUUGACUGGCUCAUUAAAUCUCCUCGAGGCUUGUAGACACAUCGAGUUCACAGGGCUCUUGCCUGCUGUUAAUGCUUGCAGAGAGAUGGGCAAUGUCCAAAUUGCAAAGCUCCACGAAGCAAUGUUCUCAGCUUAAUGAAGAAUGAUACAGAUGAAGGGAAGCUGGGGAAAAGAACUCACCCCUUUUGCAUACCUACCCUGCUCCAGGUGCUCUGCAUCUGCCACCGUGCAGAUUGUUACAGCAACUCACCAGACCACAACUUGCAGCUCACAACACAACAGGAAGCUUAAAGAUGCUUUGCUUGCUAAAGUGGAAGGCUGAAAGGAGCAGAACCAGAAGAGUGCUGGAGAGAUGGAUGUGGGUGGCGUUUGUUUUAUGUACUUACAAAAGAAGAGCUGCAAGUAGCAUAUGAAUCUCCGGUUCAAUUAGACAAACUUGUAGAGAAGAAAAAGAACUUCCUCAAGAAACUGACCACCACCCUGGAGUGGUUAAGAAUUGACCACUCAACAACGCUGGAUUAUAGCAAAUAAAUUUUCACGUUAGAUUGUUAAAAAAAAAUAGUGAACCCUUACACAGCAUUUGUUAUGUGUCAUGAGUUUUUCUGAGUUUUUCAUAUAAUAGCACAGUUAAUCUGUAUCAAAUCUUUGAGUUAGGUACUGUAUAUGAUCUCUAUUUUAUAAAUGCAGUAACGGU
This 1005-nucleotide long non-coding RNA is filed under the name Homo sapiens (human). Its description in RNAcentral is "HSALNT0135420". The record is from RNAcentral. Lineage: Eukaryota; Metazoa; Chordata; Mammalia; Primates; Hominidae.